This 162-nucleotide ribosomal RNA is filed under the name Primula stricta. Its description in RNAcentral is "5.8S ribosomal RNA". It matches the Rfam family "5.8S ribosomal RNA". Rfam says of the family: 5.8S ribosomal RNA (5.8S rRNA) is a component of the large subunit of the eukaryotic ribosome. It is transcribed by RNA polymerase I as part of the 45S precursor that also contains 18S and 28S rRNA. Functionally, it is thought that 5.8S rRNA may be involved in ribosome translocation. Lineage: Eukaryota; Viridiplantae; Streptophyta; Magnoliopsida; Ericales; Primulaceae. The record is from RNAcentral.
AAAACGACUCUCGGCAACGGAUAUCUAGGCUCUCGCAUCGAUGAAGAACGUAGAAAAAUGCGAUACUUGGUGUGAAUUGCAGAAUCCCGUGAACCAUCGAGUUUUUGAACGCAAGUUGCGCCCGAAGCCAUUAGGCUGAGGGCACGUCUGCCUGGGCGUCUC